Molecule: long non-coding RNA, 240 nt
Filed under: Elaeis guineensis (African oil palm)
Lineage: Eukaryota; Viridiplantae; Streptophyta; Magnoliopsida; Arecales; Arecaceae
Description: long non-coding RNA (EGUI_LNC053117)
Source: RNAcentral
AACUUGCAAAUAGCUUAGGAGAGUUAAAUGAGAGGUAGAGAGGAAAGGAUUCUAGAAAAAAAAAGCAAGGAUUUUGGGGAGGUAAAUCACCGAUUUGGAGAAGAGGGGUUGAAUCUAAGGCAAGCUUGAACCGUCCAAAUGAAGAAGAAAGAGGAAAGGAAGUUGGUUCCUUAAUGAGCGAUUUGAACGGUGAAGAUUGGUGAGAAAAGAAAUUUUGAGAGAAACCUUCGAUUUGAGAGA